This 1337-nucleotide ribosomal RNA is filed under the name uncultured bacterium. RNAcentral's name for it is "16S ribosomal RNA". It matches the Rfam family "Bacterial small subunit ribosomal RNA", at positions 28 to 1386 of the family's 1533-position model. The record is from RNAcentral.
GACGAACGCUGGCGGCGCGCCUAACACAUGCAAGUCGAACGAGCGAGAGAGAGCUUGCUUUCUCGAGCGAGUGGCGAACGGGUGAGUAACGCGUGAGGAACCUGCCUCAAAGAGGGGGACAACAGUUGGAAACGACUGCUAAUACCGCAUAAGCCCACGGUGCCGCAUGGCACAGAGGGAAAAGGAGUAAUCCGCUUUGAGAUGGCCUCGCGUCCGAUUAGCUAGUUGGUGAGGUAACGGCCCACCAAGGCGACGAUCGGUAGCCGGACUGAGAGGUUGAACGGCCACAUUGGGACUGAGACACGGCCCAGACUCCUACGGGAGGCAGCAGUGGGGAAUAUUGCACAAUGGGGGAAACCCUGAUGCAGCGACGCCGCAUGGAGGAAGAAGGUCUUUGGAUUGUAAACUCCUGUUGUUGGGGAAGAUAAUGACGGUACCCAACAAGGAAGUGACGGCUAACUACGUGCCAGCAGCCGCGGUAAAACGUAGGUCACAAGCGUUGUCCGGAAUUACUGGGUGUAAAGGGAGCGCAGGCGGGAAGACAAGUUGGAAGUGAAAUCUAUGGGCUCAACCCAUAAACUGCUUUCAAAACUGUUUUUCUUGAGUAGUGCAGAGGUAGGCGGAAUUCCCGGUGUAGCGGUGGAAUGCGUAGAUAUCGGGAGGAACACCAGUGGCGAAGGCGGCCUACUGGGCACCAACUGACGCUGAGGCUCGAAAGUGUGGGUAGCAAACAGGAUUAGAUACCCUGGUAGUCCACACCGUAAACGAUGAUUAUUAGGUGUUGGAGGAUUGACCCCUUCAGUGCCGCAGCUAACACAAUAAGUAAUCCACCUGGGGAGUGCGACCGCAAGGUUGAAACUCAAAGGAAUUGACGGGGGCCCGCACAAGCAGUGGAGUAUGUGGUUUAAUUCGACGCAACGCGAAGAACCUUACCAAGUCUUGACAUCCCUUGACAGGCAUAGAAAUAUGUUUUCUCUUCGGAGCAAGGAGACAGGUGGUGCAUGGUUGUCGUCAGCUCGUGUCGUGAGAUGUUGGGUUAAGUCCCGCAACGAGCGCAACCCUUAUGGUCAGUUACUACGCAAGAGGACUCUGGCCAGACUGCCGUUGACAAAACGGAGGAAGGUGGGGAUGACGUCAAAUCAUCAUGCCCUCUAUGACUUGGGCUACACACGUACUACAAUGGCGUUAAACAAAGAGAAGCAAGACCGCGAGGUGGAGCAAAACUCAGAAACAACGUCCCAGUUCGGACUGCAGGCUGCAACUCGCCUGCACGAAGUCGGAAUUGCUAGUAAUCGUGGAUCAGCAUGCCACGGUGAAUACGUUCCCGGGCCUUGCAC